Molecule: long non-coding RNA, 1351 nt
Organism: Panonychus citri (citrus red mite)
Lineage: Eukaryota; Metazoa; Arthropoda; Arachnida; Trombidiformes; Tetranychidae
Exons: 4
Source: RefSeq, a predicted model, not a curated record
UCCUGCUAACUUUUCUUGUUUACAUUUUUUUCAUUUGUAACCUUACAGUUAAUAUUAUCGUGUUAUCUGUUUAUCAAGUUAUCUGAUUUAAUUUGUUUUGUUAUUUUAAUAACAAUGUAUUUGUUUCGUGCUCCUCUUCAAUUGUUUUUUUUAUUCGCAAUGGUUUUUGAUCCUAAUAUGACAAAUACAAGGGAUAAUGCUACUGUGAUUCCAAAUGAUCAUCAUCAUCAACAACAUCAAGAACAAGAACAACAAGAAUCCUUUCCUGAUUCAAAUGUUAGAAGAGUCUGUAGACCAUUUUUUAUACAUCUGCAUUGAAUUUUUUCAUUCGAUUGUUCAGAGGAAUUUUUUGACCAUAAUCCCAUAAUGACACGAGAUUAGCUAUUUUCAUUUUGAACAAAAGAGAUGAUGAAAUAAUACCUAAAGAUUAUGAGAAUGGUUAGAGCGAGGAAAAGCAGCAACGCGUAGACUAGAUCACUCAUGAUUGACCGAUUAAAUAAAUUGUUACAAGUAUUUAUACAUUUUUAAUAACUUUAUUCUUAUAUUAGAUCAUUUUUGACCAAGAAAGAUUCAUAUUUGUCUGAGAAUUCUUUGCUCUUCAGUAGAUUCAUCAACUCCAACUCUGAUUGACACAUUUUGAUAAUAAUGAUUAUCUAACAAAGACUAGUGCUUUUUAUACCUAUUUUUAUUGCAUCAUUUUUUAUUGAUAACGUCAUUCUACUCAGUUCAUUAGUCCUAACAUCGAAUGAUGGUUUCAAGACACUAUUGACGUCAUCCCAGACAGUUCAUUGAACUUUCUAGAAUGUUCUAGAACGUUUUCUGAUCCCCACCUCCAUUUCCGUUUCCGCUUCUGAGCCAGAAGCGGAGGUUUUCAUACUACUGUUAUAAUUGGUCUGAUAAUAAACUUUCGUCUUCGGUCCUGACAUUUUAAAAUACAAGUAUUACAAUAAUGUGUAUAAUGUAAUUAUAAAUGAUAACAUAAGUGGUAAGACUUUUGGAUAUCGUUUCUAUUAUUUUUAUCUUCUCGGUGGCUGUUAGUUCAGGUAAAACAUUGAAUUAGUUUCUAAUUGGAAAUCCUGAUUUUUAUUCAUUAAUUUGUUUUUCACUUCGAAAUUACAUUAAGCUGACGAAGGUGCUAAUUGGUAUAGACAGUUUCAGCUCUCAACACCUCUGGGUUGACACAUUUGAUUAGAGCCCAAGGGAACAUGCGAGGUGGUGGAUGAUCGAUUGGAACUUCAUCAGAUGGAAAUUGGAUUCCAUCUUUUAUCAUUCUCUCUUUACAUUCGAUCACAAGGAAACUUUUUUCCUUUUUCCCGACUUUUAGUCCAAAUAAAUGUUUUUUCACCUUCGA